AAUAGAUACCCGGGUAGUCCAUGCCGUAAACGUUGGGAACUAGAUGUAGGGACUGUUCCACGGUUUCUGUGUCGUAGCUAACGCAUUAAGUUCCCCGCCUGGGGAGUACGGCCGCAAGGCUAAAACUCAAAGGAAUUGACGGGGGCCCGCACAAGCGGCGGAGCAUGCGGAUUAAUUCGAUGCAACGCGAAGAACCUUACCAAGGCUUGACAUAUAGAAGAACGGGCUGGAAACAGUCAACUCUUUGGACACUUCUAUACAGGUGGUGCAUGGUUGUCGUCAGCUCGUGUCGUGAGAUGUUCGGUUAAGUCCGGCAACGAGCGCAACCCUCGUCCUAUGUUGCCAGCGGGUUAUGCCGGGAACUCAUGGGAUACUGCCGUGGUCAACACGGAGGAAGGUGGGGAUGACGUCAAAUCAUCAUGCCCCUUAUGUCUUGGGCUUCACGCAUGCUACAAUGGCCGGUACAAAGGGCUGCAAUACCGCGAGGUGGAGCGAAUCCCAAAAGCCGGUCUCAGUUCGGAUUGGGGUCUGCAACUCGACCC
RNAcentral lists this ribosomal RNA (542 nucleotides) under uncultured bacterium. Its description in RNAcentral is "bacterial SSU rRNA". It matches the Rfam family "Bacterial small subunit ribosomal RNA", at positions 777 to 1318 of the family's 1533-position model. The record is from RNAcentral.